Molecule: ribosomal RNA, 982 nt
Filed under: uncultured bacterium
Lineage: Bacteria
Description: bacterial SSU rRNA
Rfam family: Bacterial small subunit ribosomal RNA
Source: RNAcentral
UCAGCAGCCGCGGUAAUACGGAAGGUCCGGGCGUUAUCCGGAUUUAUUGGGUUUAAAGGGAGCGUAGGCCGGAGAUUAAGUGUGUUGUGAAAUGUAGACGCUCAACGUCUGACUUGCAGCGCAUACUGGUUUCCUUGAGUACGCACAACGUUGGCGGAAUUCGUCGUGUAGCGGUGAAAUGCUUAGAUAUGACGAAGAACUCCGAUUGCGAAGGCAGCUGACGGGAGCGCAACUGACGCUUAAGCUCGAAGGUGCGGGUAUCGAACAGGAUUAGAUACCCUGGUAGUCCGCACAGUAAACGAUGGAUGCCCGCUGUUGGUACCUGGUAUCAGCGGCUAAGCGAAAGCAUUAAGCAUCCCACCUGGGGAGUACGCCGGCAACGGUGAAACUCAAAGGAAUUGACGGGGGCCCGCACAAGCGGAGGAACAUGUGGUUUAAUUCGAUGAUACGCGAGGAACCUUACCCGGGCUUGAAUUGCAGAGGAAGGAUUUAGAGAUAAAGACACCCUUCGGGGCCUCUGUGAAGGUGCUGCAUGGUUGUCGUCAGCUCGUGCCGUGAGGUGUCGGCUUAAGUGCCAUAACGAGCGCAACCCCUUUUCUUAGUUGCCAUCAGGUAAUGCUGGGCACUCUGGGAACACUGCCACCGCAAGGUGUGAGGAAGGUGGGGAUGACGUCAAAUCAGCACGGCCCUUACGUCCGGGGCUACACACGUGUUACAAUGGCCGGUACAGAGGGAUGGUGUAAUGCAAAUUGCAUCAAAUCUUAAAAGCCGGUCCCAGUUCGGACUGAGGUCUGCAAUCCGACCUCACGAAGCUGGAUUCGCUAGUAAUCGCGCAUCAGCCAUGGCGCGGUGAAUACGUUCCCGGGCCUUGUACACACCGCCCGUCAAGCCAUGAAAGCCGGGGGUGCCUGAAGUUCGUAACCGUAAGGAGCGACCUAGGGCAAAACUGGUAAUUGGGGCUAAGUCGUAACAAGGUAGCCGU